RNAcentral lists this long non-coding RNA (267 nucleotides) under Cucumis sativus (cucumber). Its description in RNAcentral is "long non-coding RNA (CSAT_LNC002521)". Lineage: Eukaryota; Viridiplantae; Streptophyta; Magnoliopsida; Cucurbitales; Cucurbitaceae. The record is from RNAcentral.
UAGCUUUAUUCCAAUAAUAAAGUUACAAAAAAAGCUUUUAAUAAUAAACUUAUACUAUAAUUGAGUUGAGUUAGGUUCACUUUUAACUAAACUUUAAAUGUGUCAAAUUUGAAAAAUCAUCUUCGAAGUAGGCAUUGGCUAAAGUAUACACUACAAAUUCAAAAUGUUGUCCAUUUAAAAGAUUCAAACAUCCACAAACUUUAAUAUGCCUCUCAAACAAACACACAUAAAUAUGGGGGAAAAGGCACCAUGUAAAUAUAGUUAUUU